AGUGAACGCUGGCGGUAGGCCUAACACAUGCAAGUCGAACGGCAGCACAGUAAGAGCUUGCUCUUACGGGUGGCGAGUGGCGGACGGGUGAGGAAUACAUCGGAAUCUACUUUUUCGUGGGGGAUAACGUAGGGAAACUUACGCUAAUACCGCAUACGACCUACGGGUGAAAGCAGGGGAUCUUCGGACCUUGCGCGAUUGAAUGAGCCGAUGUCGGAUUAGCUAGUUGGCGGGGUAAAGGCCCACCAAGGCGACGAUCCGUAGCUGGUCUGAGAGGAUGAUCAGCCACACUGGAACUGAGACACGGUCCAGACUCCUACGGGAGGCAGCAGUGGGGAAUAUUGGACCAUGGGCGGAAGCCUGAUCCAGCCAUACCGCGUGGGUGAAGAAGGCCUUCGGGUUGUAAAGCCCUUUUGUUGGGAAAGAAAAGCAGCAGGUUAAUACCCCGCUGUUCUGACGGUACCCAAAGAAUAAGCACCGGCUAACUUCGUG
Molecule: ribosomal RNA, 492 nt
Filed under: uncultured bacterium
Lineage: Bacteria
Description: partial 16S ribosomal RNA
Rfam family: Bacterial small subunit ribosomal RNA
Source: RNAcentral